Small nuclear RNA from Arvicanthis niloticus (Nile rat), 107 nucleotides. The record is from RefSeq and is a predicted model, not a curated record. NCBI's taxonomy places the organism in Eukaryota, Metazoa, Chordata, Mammalia, Rodentia, Muridae.
GUGUUUGCUUCAGCAGCACGUAUCCUAAAAUUGGAACAUUACAGAGAAGAUUAGCAUUGUCCCUGCGCAAAGAUGGCAUGCAAAUUCAUGAAGCAUUCCAUAUUUUU